This 428-nucleotide ribosomal RNA is filed under the name uncultured bacterium. RNAcentral describes it as "bacterial SSU rRNA". It matches the Rfam family "Bacterial small subunit ribosomal RNA", at positions 355 to 775 of the family's 1533-position model. The record is from RNAcentral.
UGGGGAAUAUUGGACAAUGGGCGCAAGCCUGAUCCAGCCAUGCCGCGUGUGUGAAGAAGGCCUUCGGGUUGUAAAGCACUUUUAUCCGGAAAGAAAAGCUUCGGGCUAAUACCCCGGGGUUCUGACGGUACCGGAAGAAUAAGCACCGGCUAACUUCGUGCCAGCAGCCGCGGUAAUACGAAGGGUGCAAGCGUUACUCGGAAUUACUGGGCGUAAAGCGUGCGUAGGUGGUUUGUUAAGUCUGAUGUGAAAGCCCUGGGCUCAACCUGGGAAUUGCAUUGGAUACUGGCAGGCUAGAGUGCGGUAGAGGGUAGUGGAAUUCCCGGUGUAGCAGUGAAAUGCGUAGAUAUCGGGAGGAACACCAGUGGCGAAGGCGACUACCUGGACCAGCACUGACACUGAGGCACGAAAGCGUGGGGAGCAAACAG